UUCAACCUACGGGGGGCAGCAGUGGGGAAUAUUGCACAAUGGGCGAAAGCCUGAUGCAGCAACGCCGCGUGAAGGAAGACGGUUUUCGGAUUGUAAACUUCUGUUCUUAGAGAAGAAUAAUGACGGUAACUAAGGAGCAAGCCACGGCUAACUACGUGCCAGCAGCGGCGGUAAUACGUAGGUGGCAAGCGUUGUCCGGAAUUACUGGGUGUAAAGGGAGCGUAGGCGGGAAGCCAGGUCAGCUG
RNAcentral lists this ribosomal RNA (245 nucleotides) under uncultured bacterium. RNAcentral's name for it is "partial 16S ribosomal RNA". It matches the Rfam family "Bacterial small subunit ribosomal RNA", at positions 331 to 594 of the family's 1533-position model. The record is from RNAcentral.